AUUGAACGCUGGCGGCAGGCUUAACACAUGCAAGUCGAGCGGGGUGAUGGUGCUUGCACUAUCACUUAGCGGCGGACGGGUGAGUAAUGCUUAGGAAUCUGCCUAUUAGUGGGGGACAACAUCUCGAAAGGGAUGCUAAUACCGCAUACGUCCUACGGGAGAAAGCAGGGGAUCACCUGUGACCUUGCGCUAAUAGAUGAGCCUAAGUCGGAUUAGCUAGUUGGUGGGGUAAAGGCCUACCAAGGCGACGAUCUGUAGCGGGUCUGAGAGGAUGGUCGGACACACUGGGACUGAGACACGGCCCGGACUCCUACGGGAGGCAGCAGUGGGGAAUAUUGGACAAUGGGGGAAACCCUGAUCCAGCCAUGCCGCGUGUGUGAAGAAGGCCUUAUGGUUGUAAAGCACUUUAAGCGAGGAGGAGGCUCUUUUGGUUAAUACCCAAGAUGAGUGGACGUUACUCGCAGAAUAAGCACCGGCUAACUCUGUGCCAGCAGCCGCCGUAA
Molecule: ribosomal RNA, 503 nt
Filed under: uncultured bacterium
Lineage: Bacteria
Description: partial 16S ribosomal RNA
Rfam family: Bacterial small subunit ribosomal RNA
Source: RNAcentral